AGAGUUUGAUCCUGGCUCAGAAUCAACGCUGGCGGCGUGCCUAACACAUGCAAGUCGAGCGAGAAAGGGAACUUCGGUUCCUGAGUAGAGCGGCGGACGGGUGAGUAACACGUGGGUAAUCUGCCCUCGGGUGGGGGAUAACUCAGGGAAACCUGGGCUAAUUCCGCAUGACACUUUCGAUACAUAAGUAUUGAGAAUCAAAGCUGGGGACCCUUCGGGGCCUGGCGCCUGAGGAGGAGCCCGCGGCCAAUUAGCUUGAUGGUGAGGUAACGGCUCACCAUGGCUACGAUUGGUAGCCGGCCUGAGAGGGCGGACGGUCACACUGGGACUGAGACACGGCCCAGACUCCUACGGGAGGCAGCAGUGGGGAAUUUUUGUCAAUGGGGGAAACCCUGAACAAGCAACGCCGCGUGAAGGACGAAGACCUUCGGGUUGUAAACUUCUGUCGGAGGGGACGAAAGCAUUCGUGGUUAAUACCCAUGUUUGUUGACGGUACCCUACGAGGAAGCCCCGGCUAACUCCGUGCCAGCAGCCGCGGUAAUACGGGGGGGGCAAGCGUUGUUCGGAAUUACUGGGCGUAAAGGGCGCGCAGGCGGGCGGGAAAGUCUCUCGUGAAAUCCCACGGCUCAACCGUGGAAUUGCGGGAGAUACUACUCGUCUUGAGUCCGGGAGAGGAGUGUGGAAUUCCCAGUGUAGCGGUGAAAUGCGUAGAUAUUGGGAGGAACACCGGUGGCGAA
RNAcentral lists this ribosomal RNA (737 nucleotides) under uncultured bacterium. RNAcentral describes it as "bacterial SSU rRNA". It matches the Rfam family "Bacterial small subunit ribosomal RNA", at positions 8 to 719 of the family's 1533-position model. The record is from RNAcentral.